GACGAACGCUGGCGGCGUGCUUAACACAUGCAAGUCGAACGCUAAAGCCCUACCUUGCUGGUGUGGUUGAGUGGCGAACGGGUGAGUAAUACGUGAGUAACCUGCCCUUGACUCUGGGAUAAGCUCGGGAAACUGGGUCUAAUACUGGAUGCUACAUCUCACCGCAUGGUGGUGUUUGGAAAGGUUUUGCUGGUCUUGGUUGGGCUCACGGCCUAUCAGCUUGUUGGUGAGGUAAUGGCUCACCAAGGGGUCGACGGGUAGCCGGCCUGAAGGGGUGACCGGCCACACUGGGACUGGGAAAAGGCCCAGAAUCCUACGGGGGGCAGCAGGGGGGAAUAUUGCACAAUGGGGGAAAGCCUGAUGCAGCGACGCCGCGUGAGGGAUGAAGGGCUUCGGGUUGUAAACCUCUUUCAGCAGGGAAGAAGCCACAAGUGACGGUACCUGCAGAAGAAGCGCCGGCUAACUACGUG
This 470-nucleotide ribosomal RNA is filed under the name uncultured bacterium. RNAcentral's name for it is "partial 16S ribosomal RNA". It matches the Rfam family "Bacterial small subunit ribosomal RNA", at positions 28 to 507 of the family's 1533-position model. The record is from RNAcentral.